Molecule: ribosomal RNA, 529 nt
Filed under: uncultured bacterium
Lineage: Bacteria
Description: bacterial SSU rRNA
Rfam family: Bacterial small subunit ribosomal RNA
Source: RNAcentral
AAUAGAUACCCGGGUAGUCCACGCCGUAAACGAUGAGUGCUAAGUGUUAGAGGGUUUCCGCCCUUUAGUGCUGCAGCUAACGCAUUAAGCACUCCGCCUGGGGAGUACGGCCGCAAGGCUGAAACUCAAAGGAAUUGACGGGGGGCCCGCACAAGCGGUGGAGCAUGUGGCUUAAUUCGAAGCAACGCGAAGAACCUUACCAGGUCUUGACAUCCUCUGCCAACCCUAGAGAUAGGGCGUUCCCCUUCGGGGGGACAGAGUGACAGGUGGUGCAUGGUUGUCGUCAGCUCGUGUCGUGAGAUGUUGGGUUAAGUCCCGCAACGAGCGCAACCCUUGAUCUUAGUUGCCAGCAUUCAGUUGGGCACUCUAAGGUGACUGCCGGUGACAAACCGGAGGAAGGUGGGGAUGACGUCAAAUCAUCAUGCCCCUUAUGACCUGGGCUACACACGUGCUACAAUGGAUGGUACAAAGNGCUGCGAACCCGCGAGGGUAAGCCAAUCUCAAUAAAGCCAUUCUCAGUUCGGAUUGU